Cucurbita moschata (crookneck pumpkin) is the source of this 380-nucleotide long non-coding RNA. RefSeq lists it as uncharacterized. The record is from RefSeq and is a predicted model, not a curated record. Lineage: Eukaryota; Viridiplantae; Streptophyta; Magnoliopsida; Cucurbitales; Cucurbitaceae. The transcript has 3 exons.
AUUGACCCGAUUUCAGGUCUUAUGUGUUUGCGAGAGGACGAUCUAUGAGAUUUGAGGAGGAUCGUGGGCAUCGGAAGCAAAUCAGAGGAUGAGGCGACGACGAGCAUGCAGAGGAAUUAUCCGAGGAGUUUGGCAAAUUUUGGACUAAAGACGCAAAUUCGAACAUAAAGUGACACGCUUUUCAGGUGGAAAUUGAUGUAGCGGUCGAGGCGAAGGCACACGGGGCUGUUGGCUAUAGAGAGUUCCAACACAUUUAAGUCGAGUUUCUUUGUACCUACCUUUAAAUCCAACCUUUCAUGUAUUUUAAAUAGUUGUCCGAAAGAUGUUGUAUCUUAGUGGUCUUUUCUCUUUUCUUUAUAAAAACAAAAUUUUCAUUACUA